UACAGAGGGUGCAAGCGUUGUUCGGAAUUAUUGGGCGUAAAGGGCGCGUAGGCGGGCUGUCAAGUCUGGGGUGAAAUGCCGCGGCUCAACCGUGGAACUGCCUUAGAUACUGACGGCCUUGAGGAAGGUAGGGGCAUGCGGAACUGUAGGUGGAGCGGUGAAAUGCGUUGAUAUCUACAGGAACUCCGGUGGCGAAAGCGGCGUGCUGGACCUUUUCUGACGCUGAGGCGCGAAAGCUAGGGGAGCAAACGGG
This 253-nucleotide ribosomal RNA is filed under the name uncultured prokaryote. RNAcentral's name for it is "partial 16S ribosomal RNA". It matches the Rfam family "Bacterial small subunit ribosomal RNA", at positions 524 to 776 of the family's 1533-position model. The record is from RNAcentral.